AAUAGCCUGACGGCUGAACCAGCAACUUGGAGGAAUGUAUAUCGACUCUGUCGAAUAAAAUUCUAGUUAAGUUAUGAUAAUGACAUUUCUUAACUAUGUGUCUUGACCAAAUCACGUGCCAGCAGUCGCGGUAAUACGUGGAAGACUAGUGUUAUUCAUCUUUAACAGGUUUAAAGGGUACCUAGACGGCAAAUCAAGCCCCAAAAGGGGACUAAUUUACUAGAGUUUAAUAAGAGAGGGGGAGUACUGAUGAGUGGAGGGAUGAAAUAUUAUGAUACCAUUAGGAACAGACAAAGGCGAAAGCGACCUUUUACAUAAAACUGACGUUGAGGGACGAAGGCUUUAGUCGUGAACAGGAUUAGAUACCCAAGUAAUUAAAGCAGACAAUGAUGAAUGUCAUAGAUUAGUAAUUUUAUAUUUAGUAACUCGUUUUAUUAAUAUCAUAAAAGUAUACUAUUAAUCUAUAAAUGAAAGUGUAAGCAUUCCACCUCAAGAGUAAUGUGGCAACGCAGAAACUGAAAUCAUUAGACCGUUUCUGAAACCAGUAGUGAAGUAUGUUGUUUAAUUAGAUAAUCCGCAAAAGACCUCACCACAAUUUGUAUAUUAUUAUUUUAUAAUAAUACAAGCGUUGCACGGCUGUCUUCAGUUAAUGUCGUGAGAUUAGGUUAGUUCCAUUAAAUUAACGUAAACCCUUGCUUUAUUUAUAUUAUAAAGUAGAUCACCGCUAUAUUGGAUGUGAUAAUAGGGACUAAGACAAGUCAUCAUGGCCUGAAUAUUGUGGGCGAUAGACGUGCCACAUAAUCGGACACAAAGGGAUGCAAAAUUGUGAAAUAAAGCUAAUCCCAAAAAAUCCGAUAAAAUAU
This 863-nucleotide ribosomal RNA is filed under the name Pertusaria coronata. RNAcentral describes it as "SSU rRNA". It matches the Rfam family "Bacterial small subunit ribosomal RNA", at positions 370 to 1294 of the family's 1533-position model. The record is from RNAcentral. Lineage: Eukaryota; Fungi; Ascomycota; Lecanoromycetes; Pertusariales; Pertusariaceae.